CACCGCCUAGCAACCAAAUACCAGCAAUGACAAUCUUUGCUCGUAACUUGCUCGGCCUGGCACUGAAAAACACAAUAAGAACUCGGAAAACGGGUAACGACAUAGAACUUGGCCAUCAUUGUUAGAAUGGAAUACGUCGUGAUCAUAAUAUUCAAGAUGGGAGCUGUAAUAAGGUGAUGAUGAAAGAUGUCUCGUAAUAACCCCGAGCAACUAAACUGUCGAUCUCGUACGACGUAAGCUCUGAUCGAUGGUGGAUUU
Molecule: long non-coding RNA, 258 nt
Organism: Cephus cinctus (wheat stem sawfly)
Lineage: Eukaryota; Metazoa; Arthropoda; Insecta; Hymenoptera; Cephidae
Exons: 2
Source: RefSeq, a predicted model, not a curated record